RNAcentral lists this long non-coding RNA (278 nucleotides) under Lathyrus oleraceus (garden pea). RNAcentral's name for it is "Pisum sativum (pea) long non-coding RNA (PSAT_LNC007943)". The record is from RNAcentral. Lineage: Eukaryota; Viridiplantae; Streptophyta; Magnoliopsida; Fabales; Fabaceae.
AAAAACAAUGUCUUCCCCUUUAAAAGAAAGAGCCACAUUAAUGAUAAAUCAUUCCCUAGCAUUGAAAAUAGUAUCUAUUCCCUUAGCACACGCUACCUAAACACAACAAUCUCCAUUUCCAUUCAACUUCUCAGAAAAGCUCAGCUAGGGCAAAGAAAAUUUUCUCAAAAGUCCUACAACAUGUCUCAACAUCCAUCAUCAUCUGGUUCAAAAUCCUCCCACCAUGCAAAGACUCCAUCCAUGGAGUUUGUAGAUGAAGACGUGAUGGACGUUACUCC